UUUUAUAAAUAUAAAAAAAUAAUUUAUAAAUUUAUUAAAUUUAAUUAAUUGUAUUUAAAUAAAAUUUAGAUUUUUGUUAAGGGUAUGAUAAAUAAAAUUUAAAAAAUAAAAAUUUAAAAGAGGAAUUUAUAUUUUAAAUAGUAAAAUUAAUAAUAAGAUAUAUAAUUAAUUUAGGAAAUAAAUUUAUAUUAUUUAAUAAAAAUGAAGUUUUAUUAUAAAAUUUAGGUUAAUUUUGUGCCAGCAGCUGCGGUUAAACAAAAUAAGAGAAAUAUAAUUAAUUUUUAUUUAAUAAAAGGUGAGUGAUUAUUGAAAAGAAUAUAUUUUGGUGAAAUAAAAAUAUUCUAAGAAAUAUUAAUUUUUUAAAAUAAAUAAAACUUGAUAAAGACUAGGAUUAGAUACCCUAUUAUGAAAGAUUAGAAUUUGGUAGUAAAAAUAAAAUAAACCAAAUUUUUAUGGCGGUAUAGAAAUUAAUUAGAGGAAUAAGUUUUUAUAAAGGAUAAUGCUCCAAAGUCUUACUAAUAAUUAAUAACUUAUAUAUCGUUAUUUAUAAAAUAUGUUUUGAAUUAUUUUAUAAAAUAAUUAGAAUUAAUAAAUAAAUUAAAUCAAGAUAUAGUUUGUUUAUUAGGAUAAAAUUUAUUAUAUUAUAUAUUAAUUAACAAUGAUUUUAUUUAAAAAUAAAAUCAUAGAAAAAUUUAAAAGUAAGAUUUUAUAUGAAAAUAAUAAUUCUAUAUGUACAAAUUGCCCGUCAUUUUCAGAUUUAUGAAACAAGUCGUAACAAAGUAAAAGUACUGGAAAGUGCUUUU
RNAcentral lists this ribosomal RNA (803 nucleotides) under Tropilaelaps mercedesae. RNAcentral's name for it is "12S ribosomal RNA". The record is from RNAcentral. Lineage: Eukaryota; Metazoa; Arthropoda; Arachnida; Mesostigmata; Laelapidae.